RNAcentral lists this ribosomal RNA (476 nucleotides) under uncultured bacterium. RNAcentral describes it as "partial 16S ribosomal RNA". It matches the Rfam family "Bacterial small subunit ribosomal RNA", at positions 28 to 507 of the family's 1533-position model. The record is from RNAcentral.
GACGAACGCUGGCGGCGUGCCUAAUACAUGCAAGUCGAGCGGAGAGGCCCGGUACUUGUACCGACUGGAUGAGCAGCGAACGGGUGAGUAACGCGUGGGAAAUCUCCCUGUCAGCGGGGGACAACAUGGGGAAACGAGUGCUAAUACCGUAUAAAAUCUUUAAACACAAGGGUGAAGGGUGAAAGACGGAAUUGCGGUGCUCAAGGAUGGCCUCGCGUUGUAUUAGCUUGUUGGUGAGGUAGUGGGUCACCAAGGGGUUGACGGUUAGCCGGCCUGGGAGGGUGACCGGCCACAUUGGGACUGAGAGACGGCCCAGACUCCUACGGGAGGCAGCGGUGGGGAAUAUUGCGCAAUGGGCGGAAGCCUGAUGCAGCGACGCCGCGUGCUGGAUGACGGCCUUCGGGUUGUAAACCGCUUUCGCCUGGGACGAAGCGUGAGUGACGGUAAUGGGUAAGAAAGCACCGGCUAACUACGUG